RNAcentral lists this ribosomal RNA (1500 nucleotides) under metagenome. RNAcentral's name for it is "bacterial SSU rRNA". It matches the Rfam family "Bacterial small subunit ribosomal RNA". The record is from RNAcentral.
AGAGUUUGAUCAUGGCUCAGAUUGAACGCUGGCGGCAGGCCUAACACAUGCAAGUCGAACGGUAACAGGAAGAAGCUUGCUUCUUUGCUGACGAGUGGCGGACGGGUGAGUAAUGUCUGGGAAACUGCCUGAUGGAGGGGGAUAACUACUGGAAACGGUAGCUAAUACCGCAUAACGUCGCAAGACCAAAGAGGGGGACCUUCGGGCCUCUUGCCAUCGGAUGUGCCCAGAUGGGAUUAGCUAGUAGGUGGGGUAACGGCUCACCUAGGCGACGAUCCCUAGCUGGUCUGAGAGGAUGACCAGCCACACUGGAACUGAGACACGGUCCAGACUCCUGCGGGAGGCAGCAGUGGGGAAUAUUGCACAAUGGGCGCAAGCCUGAUGCAGCCAUGCCGCGUGUAUGAAGAAGGCCUUCGGGUUGUAAAGUACUUUCAGCGGGGAGGAAGGGAGUAAAGUUAAUACCUUUGCUCAUUGACGUUACCCGCAGAAGAAGCACCGGCUAACUCCGUGCCAGCAGCCGCGGUAAUACGGAGGGUGCAAGCGUUAAUCGGAAUUACUGGGCGUAAAGCGCACGCAGGCGGUUUGUUAAGUCAGAUGUGAAAUCCCCGGGCUCAACCUGGGAACUGCAUCUGAUACUGGCAAGCUUGAGUCUCGUAGAGGGGGGUAGAAUUCCAGGUGUAGCGGUGAAAUGCGUAGAGAUCUGGAGGAAUACCGGUGGCGAAGGCGGCCCCCUGGACGAAGACUGACGCUCAGGUGCGAAAGCGUGGGGAGCAAACAGGAUUAGAUACCCUGGUAGUCCACGCCGUAAACGAUGUCGACUUGGAGGUUGUGCCCUUGAGGCGUGGCUUCCGGAGCUAACGCGUUAAGUCGACCGCCUGGGGAGUACGGCCGCAAGGUUAAAACUCAAAUGAAUUGACGGGGGCCCGCACAAGCGGUGGAGCAUGUGGUUUAAUUCGAUGCAACGCGAAGAACCUUACCUGGUCUUGACAUCCACGGAAGUUUUCAGAGAUGAGAAUGUGCCUUCGGGAACCGUGAGACAGGUGCUGCAUGGCUGUCGUCAGCUCGUGUUGUGAAAUGUUGGGUUAAGUCCCGCAACGAGCGCAACCCUUAUCCUUUGUUGCCAGCGGUCCGGCCGGGAACUCAAAGGAGACUGCCAGUGAUAAACUGGAGGAAGGUGGGGAUGACGUCAAGUCGUCAUGGCCCUUACGACCAGGGCUACACACGUGCUACAAUGGCGCAUACAAAGAGAAGCGACCUCGCGAGAGCAAGCGGACCUCAUAAAGUGCGUCGUAGUCCGGAUUGGAGUCUGCAACUCGACUCCAUGAAGUCGGAAUCGCUAGUAAUCGUGGAUCAGAAUGCCACGGUGAAUACGUUCCCGGGCCUUGUACACACCGCCCGUCACACCAUGGGAGUGGGUUGCAAAAGAAGUAGGUAGCUUAACCUUCGGGAGGGCGCUUACCACUUUGUGAUUCAUGACUGGGGUGAAGUCGUAACAAGGUA